This 497-nucleotide ribosomal RNA is filed under the name uncultured bacterium. RNAcentral describes it as "partial 16S ribosomal RNA". It matches the Rfam family "Bacterial small subunit ribosomal RNA", at positions 28 to 507 of the family's 1533-position model. The record is from RNAcentral.
GACGAACGCUGGCGGCGUGCCUAAUACAUGCAAGUUGAGCGAUGAAGAUUGGUGCUUGCACCAAUUUGAAGAGCAGCGAACGGGUGAGUAACGCGUGGGAAAUCUGCCUUUGAGCGGGGGACAACAUUUGGAAACGAAUGCUAAUACCGCAUAACAACUUUAAACAUAAGUUUUAAUUUUGAAAGAUGCAAUUGCAUCACUCAAAGAUGAUCCCGCGUUGUAUUAGCUAGUUGGUGAGGUAAAGGCUCACCAAGGCGAUGAUACAUAGCCGCCCUGAGAGGGUGAUCGGCCACAUUGGGACUGAGACACGGCCCAAACUCCUACGGGAGGCAGCAGUAGGGAAUCUUCGGCAAUGGACGAAAGUCUGACCGAGCAACGCCGAGUGAGGGAAGAAGGUUUUCGGAUCGUAAAACUCUGUUGGUAGAGAAGAACGUUGGUGAGAGUGGAAAGCUCAUCAAGUAACGGUAACUACCCAGAAAGGGACGGCUAACUACGUG